Panicum virgatum (switchgrass) is the source of this 2425-nucleotide RNA transcript. It is a transcript of the gene named probable metal-nicotianamine transporter YSL14, with no coding region annotated. The transcript is spliced from 6 exons. Lineage: Eukaryota; Viridiplantae; Streptophyta; Magnoliopsida; Poales; Poaceae. The record is from RefSeq and is a predicted model, not a curated record.
AUGGCGGCGCGCCCCACCACCGCGGCGGGAGGCGGGGGCGGGGCGGACGAGGAGGUGUCGGAGGCGGGCGCGUCCCCGGAGCUGCGGCACCGCCACGCGGGCAAGGGCGCGGGCGAGGCCGGGGGCAGCGAGGGGCUGGCGGGCGGCAAUGGCGCCGCGGCGGGCGACGCGGCGUCGGUGGAGCGGGUGUUCGCGGACAAGGGGGUGCCGUCGUGGCGGGAGCAGCUCACGCUGCGGGCGUUCGUCGUCUCCGCGCUGCUCGCCGUCAUGUUCAGCGUCAUCGUCAUGAAGCUCAACCUCACCACGGGGAUCAUCCCCUCGCUCAACGUCUCCGCGGGGCUGCUCGGCUUCUUCUUCGUCCGCAUGUGGACCGCCGCCGCCGGGCGGAUGGGCUUCCUGCGCCAGCCCUUCACGCGCCAGGAGAACACCGUCAUCCAGACCUGCGUCGUCUCCGCCUACGGCAUCGCGUUCAGCGGUGGCUUCGGCAGUUAUCUAUUUGGGAUGAGUGAUAAAAUAGCUAAGCAAGCAACAGAGGCUAAAGAUGCUAAUAAUAUAAAGGAUCCACACCUUGGCUGGAUGAUAGGGUUCUUAUUCCUUGUCAGUUUCAUUGGGUUAUUGGCACUUGUGCCCCUAAGAAAAAUUAUGAUUGUUGACUACAAACUGACUAUCCAAGCGGCACAGCCACUGCAUAUCUCAUCAAUGGUUUUCACACACCUGAGGGUGCCAAGCUUGCAAAGAAGCAAGUAAAGACACUGGGCAAGUACUUCGCGUUUAGCUUUUUCUGGGGCUUUUUUCAGUGGUUCUACACCGCAGGGGAUGACUGUGGAUUCAAAAAUUUCCCAACGUUGGGUCUUGAAGCUUAUAAACACAGGUUCUUCUUUGACUUCUCUCCUACAUAUGUUGGAGUUGGCAUGAUCUGCCCAUACAUUGUGAAUGUGUCUGUUCUGUUGGGCGGUAUCCUUUCAUGGGGUGUAAUGUGGCCUCUCAUUGCCAAGAAGGGGAGUUGGUACCCAGCUGACGCCGGAGACUCAAGUCUACAUGGACUGCAGGCUUACAGGGUUUUUAUUUCCAUUGCUUUGAUUCUUGGGGAUGGUUUAUACAACUUCAUUAAGGUGCUGAUCCGCACAAUUGCAGGCUUCAUAACAAUGAUUCAGCAAAAUUCAAAAAGCAUGCUUCCCGUUUCAGACAUUGGCAGCUCCAUGUCCACUACUGAAGCUGUAUCCUUCGACGAAGAACGUCGCACUGAGCUUUUCCUGAAAGAUCAAAUUCCCAAGUCAGUUGCAUAUGGAGGCUAUGUCGCAGUUGCUGCUAUAUCGAUUGGCACUCUUCCUCAGAUCUUCCCGCAGCUCAAGUGGUACUACAUUUUGGUUGCCUAUGUGGUGGCGCCUGUGCUGGCCUUCUGCAACGCCUACGGAAGUGGCCUCACUGACUGGUCUCUCGCCUCCACCUACGGCAAGCUUGCCAUCUUCGUGUUCGGCGCUUGGGCUGGCCUCGCUCACGGUGGUGUGCUCGUCGGGCUCGCCACGUGUGGCGUCAUGAUGAGCAUCGUGUCCACGGCCUCAGACCUGAUGCAGGACUUUAAGACCGGGUACCUGACACUCGCGUCGCCGAGGUCUAUGUUCAUCAGCCAGGUGAUCGGAACCGGGAUGGGGUGCGUCAUCGCACCUUGUGUCUUCUGGCUGUUCUACAAGGCGUUCGGCGACAUCGGCGAGAGCGGAACUGAGUACCCGGCGCCCUACGCCAUCGUGUACCGCAACAUGGCCAUCCUCGGCGUGGAUGGCUUCGGCUCGCUGCCGAAGAACUGCCUCACCCUCUGCUACAUCUUCUUCGCGGUGGCGAUCGCCAUCAACCUGGUGAGGGACCUGGUCCCGCAUAAGGUGUCGAGGUUCAUCCCGCUGCCGAUGGCGAUGGCUAUCCCCUUCUACAUCGGGUCCUACUUCGCCAUCGACAUGUUCCUGGGCAGCGCGAUCCUCUUCGUGUGGUCGCGGCUGAACAAGGCAAAGGCGGACGCGUUCGGGCCCGCGGUCGCCUCGGGGCUGAUCUGCGGGGACAGGAUCUGGACCCUGCCGCAGUCCAUUCUGGCUCUGGCUAAGGUGAACCCCCCAAUUUGCAUGAAGUUUUUGUCGAGAGCAACCAAUGCCAAGGUGGACAGCUUCCUCGGAUUGUCGUGAUUUUAGGGAGAGCAACGGCAAGCAGCACGCCUCGGGCCUGUAAUUAUCGGCACAAAAUGUAUUCCCGCACUGCUUUGUAGAAAAGAAAGAAAUGUUUCAAUGUGGAGUGCUCGCGUCUGGUUCCCGCAGUCUCCGCUGUCAAGAGGAAGAGCUUGUACUCCAUGUCCCCUAUGCUAUGCCUUCUGAGCUCAUUCAUGACGUGAUGUAUUAACGUUUUUCUUCAAAAAAAAAAGAUCCUUGUUUAGAUGCUAAAA